RNAcentral lists this long non-coding RNA (384 nucleotides) under Chinchilla lanigera (long-tailed chinchilla). Its description in RNAcentral is "lncRNA (ENSCLAG00000023550.1)". Lineage: Eukaryota; Metazoa; Chordata; Mammalia; Rodentia; Chinchillidae. The record is from RNAcentral.
AUCGGUCAUUCUGAUUACCAAAUUCGAGCUUGCAAAACUGGUCAAGAAAAAGAAAAUUUUAAGCAUUGACUGUUCCUUUCAAUAAAUCACAGACAUCAGCAAUAUACCUAUCCCAGCUAUCUGGUGAUAUGUGCAACCAUUCUGAAGAUGACAUUAGAUAUUUAAAGAAGUUAAUUUGAGCUGAGAUUUUCAAAAGAUGGUGCCACAGAAGAAGAUUUGAAUGGAAAUUCAAACAUGGCAGAGGGGAGAAUUUUGAACAUGCUAAUGGAGAUAACCGAGGUUGGGGGCUUUGGAUCACCUGAAGGAGUGAGACAGAAUGCUGCUCUAGGAAAAUGGCGACAAAGGCGAGAGACAGUAAAAAUCCUGAUUGAUUUUCAUUAUUGA